This 477-nucleotide ribosomal RNA is filed under the name uncultured bacterium. RNAcentral's name for it is "bacterial SSU rRNA". It matches the Rfam family "Bacterial small subunit ribosomal RNA", at positions 23 to 507 of the family's 1533-position model. The record is from RNAcentral.
CUCAGAUUAGAACGCUGGGCGGCAGGCCUAACACAUGCAAGUCGAGCGGGUUUCGGACCUAGCGGCGGACGGGUGAGUAAUGCGUAGGAAGCUACCCGAUAGAGGGGGAUACCAGUUGGAAACGACUGUUAAUACCGCAUAAUGUCUACGGACCAAAGUGUGGGACCUUCGGGCCACAUGCUAUCGGAUGCGCCUACGUGGGAUUAGCUAGUUGGUGGGGUAAUGGCUCACCAAGGCGACGAUCCCUAGCUGGUUUGAGAGGAUGAUCAGCCACACUGGAACUGAGACACGGUCCAGACUCCUACGGGAGGCAGCAGUGGGGAAUAUUGGACAAUGGGCGCAAGCCUGAUCCAGCCAUGCCGCGUGUGUGAAGAAGGCCUUCGGGUUGUAAAGCACUUUCAGCGAGGAGGAAGGGUUAGUAGUUAAUAGCUGCUAAUUUUGACGUUACUCGCAGAAGAAGCACCGGCUAACUCUGUG